Cucumis sativus (cucumber) is the source of this 1462-nucleotide RNA transcript. RefSeq lists it as uncharacterized. The record is from RefSeq and is a predicted model, not a curated record. The transcript is spliced from 7 exons. NCBI's taxonomy places the organism in Eukaryota, Viridiplantae, Streptophyta, Magnoliopsida, Cucurbitales, Cucurbitaceae.
CUACCUCCUCCUCUUCUUCUUCUUCUCUUCUUCUUCUCUUCUUCUUCUUCUAUGUGGAAGAUCCACACGUCCCCUCUUCGAUUUUUCCUCCCUUCCGCUAACCAUCUCUCUCCCUCUCUCACGUACACCGGAAAAGACUAGACUUUUGGUCAACAACGUGCAAAAUCCCUCUCUUUCUCUCCUUCAACCGAUGCAACCACCCAACACCCCUUGCACCGCUGAACUCACUGGAAAUCAAGGUCAAGGGAGAUGUCAUGGCUAUGGGCUGAAGCUUUGAGAAAAAGAGUAUGAAAAAUGAAAUGUGAGAUUUUAAACUUUGAUAGUGUGUAGGGUCUUUUUGUUUGUCUAUGCAUUUUCCAAAUGAAUUUUAGUACUUUUGAUUUUUCUAUUGAUAUUUUGUUUAUGGUUGCUAUUGAGUUGCUUUGAUUGAAGGAUAGAGGGAAGUGAUUAUUGAUAAUUAUAGGUAUGUUCUCUCUCCCUUUCUUACAAUAAGGAUAGUAGCAACAAAAAUUACUACAUGUUCUAUAUUGAAAGGAAAAACAAAAAAAUAAUGGUGAAUGAAGAUUUAUUUUGUAUGGUAGAAUUUUAUUUGUCACUUACCAUGCUAGAUCUUUCCAAGAGGAGUAAAUUUGAAAAUGUCGAAAUACACCCUCUGCUUGAAACAUAAACCGCGAUGUAUGUUAUACACAUUGGAAAUGUAUGAAUGUGUAUAUUGAAACUUAAGCCUAUACACUUUCCAAGAGAAUUUAUGUAUGUUAUCUAUUUGGUUUUUGGCUUUAACUUUUUGAAACUUAAGCCUAUACACUUUUUUUACCUCUACUUUUUAUCAACGUUUUUAAACUAUAUUUUCUUCCUAUGACUACCUUAUGACAUUUUGAAUAAUUGAUUGAAUUGAGGAUUAGCAUAAAGUUCUCUUACUUCAAGGACGUUGUCGUUAUUUGUUCAAGGCUUGAAGAAUCCUCGAGAGAGUGACAAUACUUGUUGAAUUUUUAUGAAAAUGCAACAUUGAAAAGGGUUGGAAGGGCUCCAAGGUUGAUGAGUUUCCAAUUUCAAAAGUCUACCUAAAGCUCUAUUGUUUGUUUAACUCAAAGGUAAAAAAAAGUAAAGUAUGUGGACUUGCACCGAAUAGAGCCAUGGAAUUGGUGCAAGGGUUUGAUCAAGAGGCUGCUGCAGUUGUUGUGGCAAGAUUAACUUCAUCAAAAAUGGAGAUGGAGGUUCAACCGGAGUCGACAACUUCAUUAGUUUUCUUUCAAAGAACAUUUUCAAAGACGAACAUUCUCGGUUGGUCGUUUAUGCUUCUGCAGAAAAUCUUGUUAGAUGUAUUCUAAUGCUAUUUAAAAUAUUUUUUGAUUAAGGGUUGGGAUUUCGUACUUGUAAAUUAUUGACACUUGAUUGGAAAUGUACGAAUAUUAUAAAUUGUAUUAUAUCGUAUAUAUAUUAAAGUGUUGGCUACUUUUUUCUA